GACGAACGUUGGCGGCGUGCCUAAUACAUGCAAGUAGAACGCUGAAGAGAGGAGCUUGCUCUUCUUGGAUGAGUUGCGAACGGGUGAGUAACGCGUAGGUAACCUGCCUUGUAGCGGGGGAUAACUAUUGGAAACGAUAGCUAAUACCGCAUAACAAUGGAUGACACAUGUCAUUUAUUUGAAAGGGGCAAUUGCUCCACUACAAGAUGGACCUGCGUUGUAUUAGCUAGUAGGUGAGGUAAUGGCUCACCUAGGCGACGAUACAUAGCCGACCUGAGAGGGUGAUCGGCCACACUGGGACUGAGACACGGCCCAGACUCCUACGGGAGGCAGCAGUAGGGAAUCUUCGGCAAUGGGGGCAACCCUGACCGAGCAACGCCGCGUGAGUGAAGAAGGUUUUCGGAUCGUAAAGCUCGGUUGUAAGUCAAGAACGGGUGUGAGAGUGGAAAGUUCACACUGUGACGGUAGCUUACCAGAAAGGGACGGCUAACUACGUG
RNAcentral lists this ribosomal RNA (497 nucleotides) under uncultured bacterium. Its description in RNAcentral is "partial 16S ribosomal RNA". It matches the Rfam family "Bacterial small subunit ribosomal RNA", at positions 28 to 507 of the family's 1533-position model. The record is from RNAcentral.